UUUUUUUUUUAUAAUUUUUUUAAAUUAGCAACUGACUUUUUCGUUGUUAAAUUAAUUACAAAUAGCAAAUAAUUUAUAAAAUGAUUAUAAAAUUAUAAAAUUAAAGACACUAAAUUUUUUACAAUUGAUUAUAUUUCGGUUAUUAGUAGCAACUAAUAAUUUUUUUAGCAUAAUUUUUUUUAAUUUAAUUAAUUUAGCAAUGAUUCAAUUAUCGGCAAUCAAAUUUAUUGUAAUCGACUGAAUCGAUUGCUCAAUCGAUUAGCAACUAAUUUUAAUAGAUUAGCAACCGAUUAGUUCCGAAUUUUUUUUUAUGUCCAUCACCUAUUAACUUUAAGAUUUUGUUUUAUUUUCAUCUCUCCACUUUACUUUACUUUAUUUUAUUUUAUUUUAUUAAAUCCAUUGUCCUUCCCUUUCCCCCUUCUCUUUAAUUGAUGAUUAUUUAUUAAUAAAAUUAUUUUAUUUCAUUAAAAAAUUUUAUAUAUUAAAUUUUUAAUAAAAUUAUUUAUUAAUUUAUAUUUUCUAUUUAUUAUUAAUAUUUUAAUACUUAAAUUUUAUUAAAUUAAUUAUUUUAUAAUACUACGAUUAAUCUGAAAGAUGCGAUUUAAAAAU
This 609-nucleotide unclassified non-coding RNA is filed under the name Hevea brasiliensis (rubber tree). Lineage: Eukaryota; Viridiplantae; Streptophyta; Magnoliopsida; Malpighiales; Euphorbiaceae. The record is from RNAcentral.